This is a non-coding RNA of Prunus avium (sweet cherry), 149 nucleotides long. The record is from RefSeq and is a predicted model, not a curated record. NCBI's taxonomy places the organism in Eukaryota, Viridiplantae, Streptophyta, Magnoliopsida, Rosales, Rosaceae.
CGUCAUGGUUGAGGACUUGAUAUAUCAUGAGCCAUUCAUUGUCCAUAAAAAAAAGAAUUGGAAGAGCUCAAAUUACGGUAUAAAAAUUGAAGGAGGUGCACAGUUCAUUCCGUGAUCUUGCUGAUAGAAUGAUUGAGGAGAAGGACAAA